AGUGAACGCUGGCGAUAGGCCUAACACAUGCAAGUCGAACGGCAGCACAGUAAGAGCUUGCUCUUACGGGUGGCGAGUGGCGGACGGGUGAGGAAUACAUCGGAAUCUACUUUUUCGUGGGGGAUAACGUAGGGAAACUUACGCUAAUACCGCAUACGACCUACGGGUGAAGGCAGGGGAUCUUCGGACCUUGCGCGAUUGAAUGAGCCGAUGUCGGAUUAGCUAGUUGGCGGGGUAAAGGCCCACCAAGGCGACGAUCCGUAGCUGGUCUGAGAGGAUGAUCAGCCACACUGGAACUGAGACACGGUCCAGACUCCUACGGGAGGCAGCAGUGGGGAAUAUUGGACAAUGGGCGCAAGCCUGAUCCAGCCGUACCGCGUGGGUGAAGAAGGCCUUCGGGUUGUAAAGCCCUUUUGUUGGGAAAGAAAAGCAGCAGGUUAAUACCCCGCUGUUCUGACGGUACCCAAAGAAUAAGCACCGGCUAACUUCGUG
RNAcentral lists this ribosomal RNA (492 nucleotides) under uncultured bacterium. Its description in RNAcentral is "partial 16S ribosomal RNA". It matches the Rfam family "Bacterial small subunit ribosomal RNA", at positions 29 to 507 of the family's 1533-position model. The record is from RNAcentral.